UGCUUUCACUUUGCUGCUGAGGAGGAGGAACAAGAAGCGUGCUGCUGAAGGAGCCUUCUCCGGGGUACCGCUGCCUGCGUCGGUCAGGUUUAGCAAAAGCCAGGUCGAGAACACAGCCUUUCUUGACGACCAAACUCCGGCUGCCUCACUUUACUUGAUCGCACCGAGUUAGGCUGCUGUGUGAAUGCAUGGAAAAGAAACAACCCACGCCCUCCGUGCACCUGGGCGAAAAUGGAAGUGCUCGCAUUGAUGUUAAUUAUAAAAUUGAGUGAUUUCAUAAUUUGGCCUGCUUUGUGAAUAUUAAUUACAUUUCUUCUGAGAGUUUCAGUUCCAGGAGUGCAUUACUCAUGUUAUGGGACGUGUGGGGUCACAUCCUGAUUAGACGAAAAUAUAAAUUGGAUUGGGUUGCUCAACAAGGAGAGUCGCCGAACGGGCUCAAAUAUUCAGACCCUUUCAUAUCACCUAUGGCACCCUUUGUAGAGGAUGUCAAAUUGCAAACCAACUGCGGUUUCUCUGUGAAAGCAGGUUUGCUGCAGUUGACACGCAUAAACCUUUGAUAGGUCCACCGUCAACUGUCCACGACGAGGACCCGUGGGGAAUGCCUUCGUAGUUAUAAGUAAACAGAACCAUUUUCCAAUAAAUUGCUUCUUUGUGUUACUCCAAGGAAUUCUCAAAUGUCAACUUUCUCCAACUAACGGUUGCGAAUGUACCUGCGUAAUAACUUUAUUUCCUCGUUUCUAAAGUCAUUUUUAUGAAACAAAAUUGCAGCCCACUUGUUAUUGUUGAUUGUACAUGUACAGGAUGCAGGCUGUUUUGUACAA
Folsomia candida is the source of this 821-nucleotide long non-coding RNA. RefSeq lists it as uncharacterized. The record is from RefSeq and is a predicted model, not a curated record. Lineage: Eukaryota; Metazoa; Arthropoda; Collembola; Entomobryomorpha; Isotomidae. The transcript has 3 exons.